UACGGGGGGGGCAAGCGUUGUUCGGAAUUACUGGGCGUAAAGGGCGCGUAGGCGGUUUGCUAAGUUGAAUGUGAAAACUCUGGGCUUAACCCAGAGCCUGCAUUCAAUACUGGCAGGCUAGAGUUCUGGAAGGGAUAGCGGAAUUCCUGGUGUAGCGGUGAAAUGCGUAGAUAUCAGGAGGAACACCGGUGGCGAAGGCGGCUAUCUGGACAGAGUCUGACGCUGAGGCGCGAAAGCUAGGGGAGCAAACAGG
This 253-nucleotide ribosomal RNA is filed under the name uncultured bacterium. RNAcentral's name for it is "partial 16S ribosomal RNA". It matches the Rfam family "Bacterial small subunit ribosomal RNA", at positions 524 to 776 of the family's 1533-position model. The record is from RNAcentral.